Molecule: ribosomal RNA, 427 nt
Filed under: uncultured bacterium
Lineage: Bacteria
Description: partial 16S ribosomal RNA
Rfam family: Bacterial small subunit ribosomal RNA
Source: RNAcentral
UGGGGAAUAUUGCACAAUGGGCGAAAGCCUGAUCCAGCCAUGCCGCGUGUGUGAAGAAGGUCUUCGGAUUGUAAAGCACUAUAAGUUGGGAGGAAGGGCAUUAACCUAAUACGUUAGUGUUUUGACGUUACCGACAGAAUAAGCACCGGCUAACUCUGUGCCAGCAGCCGCGGUAAUACAGAGGGUGCAAGCGUUAAUCGGAAUUACUGGGCGUAAAGCGCGCGUAGGUGGUUUGUUAAGUUGGAUGUGAAAUCCCCGGGCUCAACCUGGGAACUGCAUUCAAAACUGACUGACUAGAGUAUGGUAGAGGGUGGUGGAAUUUCCUGUGUAGCGGUGAAAUGCGUAGAUAUAGGAAGGAACACCAGUGGCGAAGGCGACCACCUGGACUAAUACUGACACUGAGGUGCGAAAGCGUGGGGAGCAAACA